RNAcentral lists this long non-coding RNA (1822 nucleotides) under Homo sapiens (human). RNAcentral's name for it is "long non-coding RNA NONHSAT150861.1". Lineage: Eukaryota; Metazoa; Chordata; Mammalia; Primates; Hominidae. The record is from RNAcentral.
CUGAAUGCAGCCGAGGGGCGAGCGCGCGGGCUCGCACGGAUUAGCCGUGCUUUCCCAUGAGCCACAAAAGAAUGCCCGAAUCUGGGACAUCUGUCAUCAAGGGGCAGGCUGCUCAGGAUGCAAGGUAUUGUCAAGAACCCUCUGCUCUACAGUUCUUUGCUGUUCUUGACCCACCUCCUUCAAACUCGGAUUUUCCGUUUCUCUCUUCUCCUAAGAGCUGCCUGCUGCCUUCUGGAGCUGCUUUAGAACCACAGAAGCCUGGAUCAUCUCUACAAAGGGUGCAAGAUGAAGGUGUUAGGACAACUUAAAGAGACGGGAGGUGCUAGGAAUCGGCAGGUGCCUGAUUGCCAAGGCAGGGACUGAUGGUGGGAGAUGUUGUUACAGAACUGGGCUUCCUGAUAGCAAUGAGGAUGAAAAGAUUCCAAAACAAUAGAUUUAACCAGCAGAAUCAAGGUUCUCCAGGACAAGAGAAAAAGAGAAUCCUGAAGGCAUGGUUCCCAGACGGGGUGAAAUAGUUAAUACAGAGAUUCUUCUAACUCAGGCCCAAACAUCUCCACACUGUCCCCAUCCUCAAGCCCUGCUGUCCACCCCACCCCUAUUUGUACAGGAGCCAUUUAAUAGAGCAAACAGUAUUCGUUUGGCAGUUUAUUUGUGCUGCACCAAAAAAAAAAACAGAGAAGCCAAAACUGAAAGAAAAAGGAAAAACAAAAAACCAGAAAUGGAGAAGUGUUCCCUUUCCAGACAAUCAUGCAAGAGAAGAAGAUUCCAUGAAGCUCACAUUCCAACAUUGGAGACAGCAUGGAGCUGUCAGUGACCUCCCCACUUCCAAGCAGAAAUCGUCACAUGUAAGAAGGAAGAAAAGAGAUAGGGAUGCGCUGAGGCUGGACUACCCGAAGGCAUCGGGGUGUCCAGAGAAGCUGGGCUUGAGGGAGGCAGCAGCUCCAACACCUUAGAGCCUUGGGAACAGUCCCUGUGACAGCCACACUGAUUGAGAGGAAAAAGCACAGCGGGAGAAGUUGAUCUCUUUCCACUGGGAGAUUGAUCUGCACUAGGGGCCUUGGAAAAAUGCAAAGGUGCUAUUUCUUGAAUGCGUAUUAUGUGCCAAGCACCAUUCUAGGUGCUAAGGAUACAGCUAUUAUCAUAGAAGAGUCCCCAUCCUGAGGAAGCUUACAUCCCACCAAGGAAGAUAGGAAACAAAAAAUAGGAGGUGCUGCAUUCAAGAGUGAAGCAAGCACAAAAGGAAAGGAAAAAUCUCUCCCUGGAGGAGAAUGCAGACAGACAGACAGACGCUAUUUGUAUCUUUGCGUCCGAAGCACAGCAGCUAACACACAGGCAUAUCAACCUGUUCAUUUCUAAAUGCCAGAAGAGAGAUGAGACAGAGAGAAAAAAAACUAAGUCAGACUGAAAUUGGGCCUUCUACCACUAGACUGAAAAGACCUAGAAUUCAUCGACAGCACAGAUACAACAAAAGCCUUCAUGGAAUACAAAAACUCCAAUUUUCAUAGGAUAUCCUUGACCUCAGUGAUGAAUCAUGAGGGCGUAGAGGGUUGAGAAAAAAGUAGGCACAUCACUACUGUUUCUAACCAGAUAUCUCGAAGCUAUUUCAGUUCCAGGAAUUCUGUCUGCUCCUGUUUUUACUUCAUUAGCAAUUCAACAUGUCUGAUUUGCCCACACAAUACUUUCCAGCUACUUUACCCAUUUGACCUGGAACAAAGUGAAAGCACAUUUUGCCCAGUUGAAAGGUCUCCUGGCAGGUUGGUUAGCAACAGGCUUGCCAGUCUGGGUUCUGUUAGCAAAGAAUAAACACAUUUCAUUAGACAAU